AUUGAACGCUGGCGGCAUGCUUUACACAUGCAAGUCGAACGGUAACAGGCCUUCGGGUGCUGACGAGUGGCGAACGGGUGAGUAAUGCAUCGGAACGUGCCCAGAGGUGGGGGAUAACGCAGCGACAGCUGUGCUAAUACCGCAUGUGAUCUGAGGAUGAAAGCGGGGGACCAAGCAGCAAUGUUUGGCCUCGCGCCUCUGGAGCGGCCGAUGUCAGAUUAGGUAGUUGGUGGGGUAAAGGCCUACCAAGCCGACGAUCUGUAGCUGGUCUGAGAGGACGACCAGCCACACUGGGACUGAGACACGGCCCAGACUCCUACGGGAGGCAGCAGUGGGGAAUUUUGGACAAUGGGCGCAAGCCUGAUCCAGCAAUGCCGCGUGCGGGAAGAAGGCCUUCGGGUUGUAAACCGCUUUUGUACGGAACGAAAAGGCUCUGGCUAAUACCUGGGGCUGAUGACGGUACCGUAAGAAUAAGCACCGGCUAACUACGUG
RNAcentral lists this ribosomal RNA (492 nucleotides) under uncultured bacterium. Its description in RNAcentral is "partial 16S ribosomal RNA". It matches the Rfam family "Bacterial small subunit ribosomal RNA", at positions 30 to 507 of the family's 1533-position model. The record is from RNAcentral.